Molecule: ribosomal RNA, 400 nt
Filed under: uncultured bacterium
Lineage: Bacteria
Description: bacterial SSU rRNA
Rfam family: Bacterial small subunit ribosomal RNA
Source: RNAcentral
UGGGGAAUUUUGGACAAUGGGGGCAACCCUGAUCCAGCCAUGCCGCGUGAGUGAAGAAGGCCUUCGGGUUGUAAAGCUCUUUCGGCGGGGAAGAAAUCGCUUGGACUAAUACUCUGAGUGGAUGACGGUACCCGAAUAAGAAGCACCGGCUAACUACGUGCCAGCAGCCGCGGUAAUACGUAGGGUGCGAGCGUUAAUCGGAAUUACUGGGCGUAAAGCGUGCGCAGGCGGUUGUGCAAGACAGGCGUGAAAUCCCCGGGCUUAACCUGGGAACUGCGCUUGUGACUGCACGGCUAGAGUACGGCAGAGGGGGGUGGAAUUCCACGUGUAGCAGUGAAAUGCGUAGAGAUGUGGAGGAACACCGAUGGCGAAGGCAGCCCCCUGGGCCAGUACUGACGCU